GGUCUUCUGAUUGUAAAGUUCUUUUAUUUAGGAAAAAAAGCUUGAGAGGAAAUGAUUAAGCCUUGAUUGUACUAAAUGAAUAAGUGACAGCUAACUAUGUGCCAGCAGCUGCGGUAAAACAUAGGUCACGAGCAUUAUCCGGAUUUAUUGGGCGUAAAGGAAGCGUAGGCGGACAAAUUGAUCUAUUGUUAAAGGCACUUGCUCAACGAGUUGUUUGUGAUAGAUAUCGUUUGUCUAGAAUUAGUUAGGAGAUACUGGAAUUCAAUGUGUAGCGGUGGAAUGCGUAGAUAUAUUGAGGAACACCAGAGGCUAAGGCGAGUAUCUAGGACAUAAUUGACGCUGAGGCUUGAAAGCGUGGGGAGCAAAUGGGAUUAGAUACCCCAGUAGUCCACGCCGUAAACGAUGGGUAUUAGGUAUUUGGUUUAGGACUGAGUGCUGUAGCUAACGCGUUAAAUACCCCGCCUGGGUAGUAUAUAUGCAAAUAUGAAACUCAAAGAAAUUGACGGGGACCUG
Molecule: ribosomal RNA, 513 nt
Filed under: uncultured Mycoplasma sp.
Lineage: Bacteria; Bacillati; Mycoplasmatota; Mollicutes; Mycoplasmatales; Mycoplasmataceae
Description: bacterial SSU rRNA
Rfam family: Bacterial small subunit ribosomal RNA
Source: RNAcentral